CCUACGGGAGGCAGCAGUGAGGAAUAUUGGUCAAUGGACGAGAGUCUGAACCAGCCACGCCGCGUGAAGGAUGACUGCCCUAUGGGUUGUAAACUUCUUUUAUAUGGGAAUAAAAUGUUCCACGUGUGGGAUUUUGUAUGUACCAUAUGAAUAAGGAUCGGCUAACUCCGUGCCAGCAGCCGCGGUAAUACGGAGGAUCCGAGCGUUAUCCGGAUUUAGUGGGUUUAAAGGGAGCGUAGGUGGAUCGUUAAGUCAGUUGUGAAAGUAUGUGGCUCAACCGUGGAAUUGCAGUUGAAACUGGCAGUCUUGAGUGCAGUAGAGGUGGGCGGAAUUCGAGGUGUAGCGGUGAAAUGCUUAGAUAUCACGAAGAACUCCGAUUGCGAAGGCAGCUCACUGGACUGCAACUGACGCUGAGGCGCGAAAGUGUGGGUAGCAAACAGGAUUAGAUACCCGGGUAGUC
Molecule: ribosomal RNA, 460 nt
Filed under: uncultured bacterium
Lineage: Bacteria
Description: partial 16S ribosomal RNA
Rfam family: Bacterial small subunit ribosomal RNA
Source: RNAcentral